RNAcentral lists this ribosomal RNA (178 nucleotides) under uncultured bacterium. RNAcentral describes it as "partial 16S ribosomal RNA". It matches the Rfam family "Bacterial small subunit ribosomal RNA", at positions 1323 to 1500 of the family's 1533-position model. The record is from RNAcentral.
AAGCUGGAAUUGCUAGUAAUGGCAGGUCAGCAUACUGCCGUGAAUACGUUCCCGGGCCUUGUACACACCGCCCGUCACACCAUGAGAGUUGGGAAUACCCGAAGCCUGUGAGCCAACCGUAAGGGGGCAGCAGUCGAAGGUAGAAUCAAUGAUUGGGGUGAAGUCGUAACAAGGUAUC